This 25-nucleotide non-coding RNA is filed under the name Rattus norvegicus (Norway rat). The record is from RNAcentral. Lineage: Eukaryota; Metazoa; Chordata; Mammalia; Rodentia; Muridae.
UGUCCUGGUUCUGUUAGGAUUCUGC